GAUGAACGCUGGCGGCGUGCCUAAUACAUGCAAGUCGAGCGAUCGGAUGAGAAGCUUGCUUCUCUGAUGUUAGCGGCGGACGGGUGAGUAACACGUGGAUAACCUACCUAUAAGACUGGGAUAACUUCGGGAAACCGGAGCUAAUACCGGAUAAUGUUUUGAACCGCAUGGUUCAAAAGUGAAAGACGGUCUUGCUGUCACUUAUAGAUGGAUCCGCGCUGCAUUAGCUAGUUGGUAAGGUAACGGCUUACCAAGGCAACGAUGCAUAGCCGACCUGAGAGGGUGAUCGGCCACACUGGAACUGAGACACGGUCCAGACUCCUACGGGAGGCAGCAGUAGGGAAUCUUCCGCAAAGGGCGAAAGCCUGACGGAGCAACGCCGCGUGAGUGAUGAAGGUCUUCGGAUCGUAAAACUCUGUUAUUAGGGAAGAACAUAUGUGUAAGUAACUGUGCACAUCUUGACGGUACCUAAUCAGAAAGCCACGGCUAACUACGUG
RNAcentral lists this ribosomal RNA (497 nucleotides) under uncultured bacterium. Its description in RNAcentral is "partial 16S ribosomal RNA". It matches the Rfam family "Bacterial small subunit ribosomal RNA", at positions 28 to 507 of the family's 1533-position model. The record is from RNAcentral.